GAUUUCUGAUGAACCGGAGUGGCCCGUUUCCUUUCAGGGAAUGAGUGCCGCUUUGAGUUUGUCAUCCUUCCAGAGAGCUGCGUCUACCGUUUACUCGGCCGGACGUAUGCGAUCUGGAUCUAUUACUUUGAAAAAAUUAGAGUGUUUAAAGCAGGCUUGCGCUAUGAAUACAUUAGCAUGGAAUAAUAAUUUAGGACUUUGGUCUUAUUUUGUUGGUUUCUAGGACUAAAGUAAUGAUUGAUAGGGACAGUUGGGGGUGCUAGUAUUCAGCGGCCAGAGGUGAAAUUCUUGGAUUCGCUGAAGACUAACUUAUGCGAAAGCAUU
RNAcentral lists this ribosomal RNA (324 nucleotides) under uncultured Euglypha. Its description in RNAcentral is "SSU rRNA". The stretch from base 109 to 324 matches the Rfam family "Eukaryotic small subunit ribosomal RNA", at positions 738 to 955 of the family's 1831-position model. Lineage: Eukaryota; Cercozoa; Imbricatea; Euglyphida; Euglyphidae. The record is from RNAcentral.